Solenopsis invicta (red fire ant) is the source of this 979-nucleotide long non-coding RNA. RefSeq lists it as uncharacterized. NCBI's taxonomy places the organism in Eukaryota, Metazoa, Arthropoda, Insecta, Hymenoptera, Formicidae. The transcript has 4 exons. The record is from RefSeq and is a predicted model, not a curated record.
GAGUGUACAUGAGAACGUCCCGUUUGACCACGUUGCAAUUGACCACAGCCAUUCACAGCAGCUGAUACCUAGAGUUUUUCCACUAUUUAAGCACUGUGAGUGUGGCUGGUGAUCAAUUGCAAAGUGUUCAAAAGACUCCUACCCAUUGUACAGUCGUGAGCUAAAAGGUAGCAACACUUUUUUUUUAUGAGUUUCUGAAUGCGCAUCUUUAAUGAGAGAUGAGAACGACUGCAUCCAUCGAGUUUUGCGCGAAACGUCAAACCAUGUCAAACGUUCGUAUACAAGGUGUACGACAUAAGAUUCGAUCGGCUUUGGUCUAAUUAAUAAUUUAAGCUUAAUUAGACCAAAUAAUAAAGACAUAUAAUAAACUCCGUACAAAUCUCAAGGCAAUUUAUGAAUACAGCGAAAGAUUUGGAUUUGCAUAAGCUUGUUACAGAAGAGACCAAACUUGAAUAUAUUAGACUCGUGUGUCAAAUGGAAAUGACUGAAACAAUUCGUAAGCAGUUAAAUGUAUUCUUGGAAGGCUUUUAUGAUAUUAUACUUAAACGAUUUCCAUAUUUAAUGAACAAGAAUUUGAAUUAUUGGCCAUCGUGCCUUAUGUAGAUAUCGAGAAUCUUGUAGCAAAUACUGAACAUCAUAAAUACACUGCUAUGUCUUUACAGAUUCAAUGGUUCUAGUGCAUUACAUGGUUUUGAUCAAGCGGAUCGUGCGAAGUUCUUACAAUUCGUUACGUCCAAAGUGUCGUUACAAGAUUUUGCUGUGUUAGAAGACAUGAAUUGUAUACAAAAGUUCCAAAUUCACAGAGAAAAUAGAUCAACAGACAAACUUUCAUCUGCAUAUACUUGUUUCAAUCAAUUGGAUCUGCCAGUGUACGAGACGUAUGAUAAACUUAAUACAAAUCUACUUAUGAAUGCAGCGAAGGAUUUGGAUUUGCAUAAGCUUGUUGGAACGCUAUUGUCGUAUAAUAUGUAGCAGUAAU